Salvelinus sp. IW2-2015 is the source of this 194-nucleotide non-coding RNA. NCBI's taxonomy places the organism in Eukaryota, Metazoa, Chordata, Actinopteri, Salmoniformes, Salmonidae. The record is from RefSeq and is a predicted model, not a curated record.
CCCAGAGAGAGACUACAUCUACUAGUGUUCAUGUUAAUGAUGUUCUCACUGUCUUCCAUCUACUCUACAUAUUUACAGAGGACCUCACUGAGAAGCUAGUUCCCCUCCCGGAGGAGUUGGAUGUCCUCAGUGGGGAGAUGUCGGAUUUAACUCAAGACCAGGAGUGCUCAAGUACUAUUUGAGACGGCCCGGUG